AGGUCAGCCCUCAGCCGACCCAGACUCCUUUCCUCUUCCUUUGUCUUUUGUUUUCUUGGUCUGGACCACUGUCAUUAAAGCCAUUCUAGACUGUAACUAGACUAUAACUGUCAUUCUAGUUUGUAACACAAAAUAGGACUGUGCUAUGCUGGAGAGAAAUCUAGGGAAAGGUCCUGACCAAAACUGGCAGCCAAGAAAAAGGCAGUCUUAAAAGGCUGAGUCCCUUGUGUGCAGCCCAUGUGCCAGGAAAGGGGAUCAAGUUUCCUCAACUGAAAAUGUGCUGUGUUCCUUGGUACUUUGGCUGUCCAGUGGAGGAGAUGAGUAUUCAGAGAAGAUAGAGAGGGUGACUUCUGCAGUCGUAACAUGCUGUCAACACAUGCUGUUCCUACUUGGAUGCCCUUAGUGUUCUCUAAUGGAAAGCUUUCAAGGCCAUCUCCAAAAGUGUCUGCUUUCAUUUUACUUAUCUGAACUGGCUGUUUCCAGUGAACUGUGGCCUGUUUGUAGUCAGGGACCAUUCAAUAGUUUAUUCCCUCUAAAAGCUUUGAGUAUUCCCAUCGUUCAGGGAUUAGCAUGUAAGUCCUGGGAAAUGGUAUUUUAAACAAGCUCAACUUGACCAUGGUCUCAACAAAAGCCAUCAGGACGCAGACAGUCACUUUAAGGAGUCAUCAAAGACAGGUACUCUGGAGAGUCCCUUCCCUGGGGCUCCUGGGCAUGAAUGGAGCUCCGAGCCUGAAGCUUUUACCCUCUGCCAACUGUGCUUUAGAGCCUACCCAUCACUUCAUCUCCUCAUAAAGAUCUUAAAGCACUCCUUAAAGAACAAAUGGAUGGUUCUUACCAUCAAGUACCUCUCUCUUACCACUCCAAAUCAAGUUUGGUUUUUGACCUAUAUUAAAAGACUUUUGGAAGUAUUUUUUGUAUUUUAUAAUUAUGGAAUAUUUAUAACUGAUUUUUUGAGAUAAAAUUCCCAUUUAAUGUAUAGGCAGUUCUGAUUUUAGUAUAUUUGCUAUAUUAUACAGUGGUCCAUACUAUCAAAGAACAGAACAAUUUUGUCACCCCAAAAAGAAACCUCAUCUGUGUUCAGCCUUGAUAUCUCCUCUGACAACCACUUACAACCCUGUGGUAUAACCAUUUAUCUGUUUGCCUGUUGUAAAUAUUUAAAUCAGUGAAAUCGUGUGGGAUAUAUCUGUUUAUGUUUGGCUUCUUUCAUUUUCAUCAUGUUUUUAGAGUUUUUGUCCAUGUCACAGCAUAUAAUAGUACUUUUUUUAUGACCAUAUAAUAUUCUGUGAUGCGGAUAUACAUACAUUUACCCAGUGCUCAGUUGUCAGGUGAGAGUUAUUUCUGCUCUGAGGCUAGUUUGUACAACGGUGUCAUCAACAUCCAUGUGCAUGCUCUUGUGUGGCAUGUCUUCAGUUUAGCUGUAUACACUGAUGUUGAAUUGCUGGGUUAUGAUUAACCUUUUGAGAAACAGCCAAGCUGUUUCCUGCAGCAGCUGCACCGUUUCACACAGUCACUGGCGGCAUGUAGGCACUCCACAGACAGAGCUCAUACCCAGUUGUCAUCGUAGGUGCUCACAUGUGCAGUGUUCCACAGCCUGAUCUAUCACAUGCUCGUGCCCAGCGAGUGACGCUGUUUGGGGAGGUUAUAAAGAAGCUUUAGGGGUUGUAGCUAACUGAAAGUAGGUUGGCAGGCAGAAAGAUCCUGUGGGGCUGUCCUUCCCAUCGCACUUCUGUCUCCUGCUUCCCAGCCACCAGGCUGUGAAUUGUACUGCUCUGGCAUGUCCUCUGAACCAUAUUGGAAUUAGCUCUCUAAAACUGUGAGACAAAGAUAUAAUCCCUCCAUUUAAUUGUUGUCAGAUAUUUUUGUAACCAUUGUGUAGAAGUAAAUAACACAAAAUACUGAUCACAAGAAGUGGGAUUGUCGCUGUAACUAAGCCAGGUGAUGUGGUGCUUACACUGGUUGCAGAAGCAGUUUGGAAAAGACUGGAGAAGCUGUCACAGGAGCUGUCACAGUGAUGCAAGCAAAGCUUAAUAGACAAUUAUGAGGUCAUUCAGAAGACCACAGCACCACCCCGAGUGUGGACAGCAGAGGCCAGGCUCAUGAGGUUUCAGAAGGGAACUGAACAAAGACUAUGCUUCUUAUGUCCUGGCAAAGAAUUUAUCUACAUUUGCAUUGAGCCUGUGUCCUGUGCUGAAUUGAAAAAAUGAUGGACUAGUGAAGUAGGAAAUUUUAAGACAGCGUGAUAAUGUCAUAUAGUUAUUGGUGGUUGUUUCUAGCCAAGCUUAGUAGUAAGGAUCAGGAAUAAGAGGCUCAGAAACAGCAGGAAUUAAAAAAAC
Molecule: long non-coding RNA, 2333 nt
Filed under: Mus musculus (house mouse)
Lineage: Eukaryota; Metazoa; Chordata; Mammalia; Rodentia; Muridae
Description: long non-coding RNA chr5:107637028-107639361
Source: RNAcentral